Molecule: unclassified non-coding RNA, 160 nt
Filed under: uncultured fungus
Lineage: Eukaryota; Fungi
Description: partial contains 5.8S ribosomal RNA, internal transcribed spacer 2, and large subunit ribosomal RNA
Source: RNAcentral
AAGGAUCAUUAGUGAUUGCCUUAAUUGGCUUAAACUAUAUCCAUCUACACCUGUGAACUGUUUGAUUGAAUCUAACGAUUCAAUUUUUACAAACAUUGUGUAAUGAACGUCAUUAGAUCAUAACAUGAAAAAACUUUCAACAACGGAUCUCUUGGCUCUC